CCUACGGGUGGCUGCAGUGGGGAACAUUGGACAAUGGGGGGAACCCUGAUCCAGCCAUGCCGCGUGUGUGAAGAAGGCCCUCGGGUUGUAAAGCACUUUCAGUGAGGAAGAACGCCUGGUGGUUAAUACCCAUCAGGAAAGACAUCACUCACAGAAGAAGCACCGGCUAACUCCGUGCCAGCAGCCGCGGUAAUACGGAGGGUGCGAGCGUUAAUCGGAAUUACUGGGCGUAAAGCGCGCGUAGGUGGCUUGAUAAGCCGGUUGUGGAAGCCCCGGGCUCAACCUGGGAACGGCAUCCGGAACUGUCAAGCUAGAGUGCAGGAGAGGAAGGUAGAAUUCCCGGUGUAGCGGUGAAAUGCGUAGAGAUCGGGAGGAAUACCAGUGGCGAAGGCGGCCUUCUGGACUGACACUGACACUGAGGUGCGAAAGCGUGGGUAGCAAACAGGAUUAGAUACCCGGGUAGUC
Molecule: ribosomal RNA, 465 nt
Filed under: Vreelandella stevensii
Lineage: Bacteria; Pseudomonadati; Pseudomonadota; Gammaproteobacteria; Oceanospirillales; Halomonadaceae
Description: partial 16S ribosomal RNA
Rfam family: Bacterial small subunit ribosomal RNA
Source: RNAcentral